RNAcentral lists this ribosomal RNA (496 nucleotides) under uncultured bacterium. Its description in RNAcentral is "partial 16S ribosomal RNA". It matches the Rfam family "Bacterial small subunit ribosomal RNA", at positions 28 to 506 of the family's 1533-position model. The record is from RNAcentral.
GACGAACGCUGGCGGCGUGCCUAAUACAUGCAAGUCGAGCGCUGAAGGCCUGCACUUGUACCAACCGGAUGAGCAGCGAACGGGUGAGUCACGCGUGGGGAAUCCGCCUUUGAGCGGGGGACAUCAUUUGGAAACGAAUGCUAAUACCGCAUAAACACUUUAAACACAAGUUUUAAGUUUGAAUGAUGCAAUUGCAGCACUCACAGACGAUCCCGGGUUGUGUUGGUUAGUUGGUGAGGUAAAGGCUCACUGAGGCGGUGACACAUAGCCGACGGGAGCGGGGGAUAGGCGGCAUUGGGGGGGGGACACGGCCCAGGCUCCUACGGGAGGCAGCAGUAGGGAAUCUUCGGCAAUGGAGGAAAGUCUGACCGAGCGACGCGGAGUGAGUGAAGAAGGUUUUCGGAUCGGAAAACUCUGUUGGUAGUGAAAAACGUUGUUGGGAGGGGAAAGCUCGUCAGGUAAGGGAAACGACCCAGAAGGAGACGGCUAACUACGU